Molecule: transfer RNA, 71 nt
Filed under: Camelus dromedarius (Arabian camel)
Lineage: Eukaryota; Metazoa; Chordata; Mammalia; Artiodactyla; Camelidae
Also listed under: 2 other names
Rfam family: tRNA
About the family: Transfer RNA (tRNA) molecules are approximately 80 nucleotides in length.
Source: Rfam by way of RNAcentral
GAGGGUACAGCUUAGUGGUAGAGCAUGUGCUUAGCAUGCACAAUGUCCUGGGUUCAACCCCAGUACCUCCA